AUUGAACGCUGGCGGCAGGCCUAACACAUGCAAGUCGAACGGUAGCACAGAGAGCUUGCUCUCGGGUGACGAGUGGCGGACGGGUGAGUAAUGUCUGGGAAACUGCCCGAUGGAGGGGGAUAACUACUGGAAACGGCAGCUAAUACCGCAUAACGUCACAAGACCAAAGUGGGGCACCUUCGGGCCUCAAACCAGCGGAUGUGACGAGAUGGGAUUAGCUAGUAGGUGGGGUAACGGCUCACCUAGGCGACGAUCCCUAGCUGGUCUGAGAGGAUGACCAGCCACACUGGAACUGAGACACGGUCCAGACUCCUACGGGAGGCAGCAGUGGGGAAUAUUGCACAAUGGGCGCAAGCCUGAUGCAGCCAUGCCGCGUGUAUGAAGAAGGCCUUCGGGUUGUAAAGUACUUUCAGCGGGGAGGAAGGCGGUGAAGUUAAUAGCUUCACCGAUUGACGUUACCCGCAGAAGAAGCACCGGCUAACUCCGUGCCAGCCGCCGCAGUAA
This 504-nucleotide ribosomal RNA is filed under the name uncultured bacterium. RNAcentral describes it as "partial 16S ribosomal RNA". It matches the Rfam family "Bacterial small subunit ribosomal RNA", at positions 29 to 523 of the family's 1533-position model. The record is from RNAcentral.